GAAGGUUGAUGUACCUAGCACUGGUAAGGGAAAAGGAAAGAUGAACAAGUUUUGAAGACUUGUAAUAUGAUAUUUGAUUUUCAGAUUUUAAUUGAAUGGUUGUAAUGAAAUUUAUUUAAUUUCCGCAUUUGAAGGAUUGUAUUUAAAGGUUAGACAACCUGGGAGAUUUUUAUUAUGUAACCCUUUAAUGGGAAAGGUUUUAUUUAUCCAGUUUUAUUGUGAUUGGGUAGUUAGAUAUGAAUGUUUGAUUAAGUGAAUACCAAAUCCUGUGGGAAUGAAGUACCUGGGUUUGGGGGUGUCACAGGAAACAUGAUAAGGUGCAAAAUUGCCCCUGAGGUUUGGGUCGAAGUCCCACUUAGACCCAAAACUAUUUUUUCAAAAGUGCCCUUGACGUUAUAAAAUUCAGCUCAACUACGCCUCUCCCGUUAACAGACAUGCCACCUUGACAAACAAAACUGACACUUCAUCUAAUUUUACUGACGAGGUUGGAGAGAGAAAUUUAGAACAUCUAAAAUAAUAAAUUCACAUAGGAGCUAAAUUUCUCUUUUCAGUCUCGACAGUAAAAUUAGAUGAGGUGUUAAAUUCGUUUGUCAAGGUGGCAUGUCUGUUAGCGGGAGGGGCGUAGUUGAGAUGAAUUUUAUAACGUCAAGGGCACUUUUGGCCAAAAAAAAAAUUUAUGUCUAAUUGGGACUUCGGCCCAAACCUCAGAGAUAAUUUUGCACCUUAUCCCUAUUUAAAAUUAAUUAAUGCUUAAUUGAAAUUUUUAAACGACAAAUAUUAAGAGAAAAAUAUUUCUCUAAAAUGACAUUUAAAAAAUGACCGAGGGAGUACAUUAUAAGAAAUUAAGAACAUACAUUUAGGAAAUGGUAAGAUUGCAAAUUCCCAUAAGUUCCUUAAUUUUGUCCUCGAUCUCCUCCAACUCUGCAAGCUGAUUGCCAUCCAACCACUGCAUUGCUUGCUCAAUACCAUCCUCCAUUUUCUUCUUGUUAGCUGCCCGAAGCUUAGAACUCAACUUCUCGCCCCUGAUGGCGUUCCUCAUGUUAUAAGCGUAGUUCUCCAACGCAUUCUUGGCCUCGACCUUUUUCUUUUGCUCUUUAUCUUCAGCUUUGUACUUGUCAGCUUCUCGUACCAUCUUCUCAAACUCCUCCUUUGACGGUCUCCCCUUAUCGUUAGUUAUCGUUAUCUUGUUCUUCUGGCCAGCAGUCUUAUCCUCAGCAGAGACAUUCAACACCCCAUUUGCAUCAAUGUCAAAGCAGACAGUAAUCUGAGGAAUACCCCUUGGGGCCGGAGGGAUGCUAGUGAGUACAAAUUUUCCCAAUAAGAUAUCCCAAUAAGAUAUCAUCUCUUGUCCUUGUUUUCUCGCCCUCAAAGACUUUAAUCAACAGGUCAGGUUGAUUAUCUGCAGGGGUUGAGAAAACUUGUUCCUUCUUGGUGGGAAUAGUUGUAUUCUUUGGAAUAAGGACAGACAUUACUCCACCAGUAAUUUCAAUCCCAAGGGAAAAAGGAGUGACAUCCAGCAACAUUAAGUCCUGAACAUUUUCAUUGCCGUCGCCAUUAAGGAUUGCAGCUUGCACAGCGGCUCCAUAUGCAACGGCCUCUUCAGGAUUUAUGCUCAUGCAGAGCUCCUUCCAAUUGAAAAAGUCUCGCAAUAGCUGCUGGACUUUUGGAAUUCUAGUAGAUCCACCGACGAGGACCACAUCAUGGACGCUACUCCUGUCCAUAGUGGCACCCUUCAAACACUUCUCCACUAGCUCUAUACAAUUUCUGAAGAGAUCCAUAUUUCACUCCUCAAUCCUGGCACGGGUGAUAUUUGCAGAGAAAUUGAUACCCUCGUACAAAUAUUCAACGUCAAUGGUGGUCCUUGCAGUAGACGAGAGAGUCAUUUUUGCUCUUUCGCAAGCAGUCCUUAAUCUCCUAAUAGAUUUAGGAUUUCUAGUUAUGUCCUUUUUGUGCUUCCUUUUGAACUCCUGAACAAAAUGAUUCAUCAGACGAAUGUCAAAGUCCUCUCCUCCAAGGUGAGUAUCACCGGCUGUAGCUUUCACUUCAAAUAUACCCUCUUCGAUUGUGAGAAGAGAAACAUCAAGACUACCACCACCAAGAUCAAAAAUAAGCACAUUUUUCUCCCCGCCUGUACUACUACCAGACAGCUUCUUGUCAAGACCAUAAGCGAUGGCAGCAGCAGUAGGCUCAACGAGUACACGCAUGACAUUGAGGCCAGCAAUGGCUCCUGCAUCAAUCGUGGCAUGGCGUUGAGAGUCAUUAAAGUAGGCAGGGACAGUAACAACAGCAUUCUUUACUGUCAAUCCAAGAUAGUUCUCGGCAAUCUCUUUCAUCUUAAUGAGAACCAUAGAAGAGAUCUCUUCAGCAGAAAAUUGCUUCUCCUCACCUUUGUAGUUGACCACAAUCGUGGGUCUUUCACCAGGACCAGGAAUGACCUUAAAUGGCCAAUGUAUCAUGUCACUUUGUACCGAUGAAUCGCUGAAUUUCCUACCUAUCAAUCGUUUAGCAUCUUGAACAAAACCAAAUUACUUGUUAUAAGUUUCAGACAAAUGUUCAAGAAAAUUAAUUAAAUAGAAUAGAAAUCCUCUGCUAUUAUAUAUCAAAAUAAAAUAAAUUUAAUUGUAUAAUUCAAAAGAAACCCUAUUGUCAUACUACACAAGUCAUAUAUUUGGUCAAAAAGUUAAAUGACAAUAUGACAUGCAUCUCGCUAACAUAUGAAGAAAACUGACUGCAUUCCAAUAUCAAGAGGGAAAAAAAUUAUUAACAUAAUAGACAAUAACAAGCACAAAAUUUGUGAUUUCUAUAAAAUCAUCUGCUCCGUGCAACAGAAUAGAGAACCUAAAAUUCUAAUGUAACAUAUGCGUGGCAUACUUACUGAACACGGUGUUGACAGGGUUCAUCCCGGCCUGGUUGUAUGCAGCAUCGCCGAUGAGACGCUCUGUAUCAGUGAAUGCGACAUAAGACCGUGUCGUCCUGCUGCCCUGAUCGUUGGCGAUGAUCUCAACUCGGUUGUGUUGCCAAAUUCCGACGCACGAGUAUGUCAUUCCAAGAUCAAUUCCGAUUGCAGGUCCUUCUCCUUUUCCGCCCAUUUUGCCAAAAAAUAUAUAUAUAUAUAUUUCAAAACUUUGAGGAGAAAUCAGAAAGUUAACCAGAGAGAAAGAAGCAUAAGAUUUUUGUUCAUUUAACGAAUGUGAACCAAGCAACAUUAUAAGAGUUUCAUCAAGGAGGAAGUAGGAGGCAGAUACAGUUGACUUUAGAAUUAUUCUCUGCCUGAAUAUGUAUACUUACAUAUUCACAUAUUUUGUAUAGUCAUAGCCUUCAAUUCAUCCCCAUAAUUCACGAGUCAACUUUCCAAAAUACAAUGUACCAAUAGACCAAGUCCAUUGCUGGCUUCAAUAUUUUUAGUAGGCGACUUGAACUUGAUUAGUUGGUAGCACUAAUAGUUAUCCACUUACGGUCUGUUUGGUUACAACAUUGAAUUGGGAAUGGAAUGGAAUGGGCAUUCCUAUUCUUAUGUUUGGUCAGAACGAGAAGCGACACGAUUUUGAUAGUUUUUUUUUAAGUUUGUCGAUUGGAAUGGAAUGGAAUGGUCAAUCUUUACCCUGAGGAAAUAAACAUUCCUUUAAACAGAUAAAUAGACAUUCUAUUGGAAUGCUCAUUCCCUUCCCUUUUAAGUAACCAAUCAUAAGAAUGUAUUGGAAUGGCCAUUUCAUUGCCCCUAAACCAAACAGGCCAAUACUUUCACUCACUACCAAAAUUAAUAGUCAACUAUUCUUGGGAUAAGGAUUUUAAAUUUUUAUUUCCAAAAUACAUGUCAGGUGUGAACUAUACAUACAAGAGCAAAUUGAUUCUCAUUACUUAAAAAGAACAAUAAAUUUGCCUCGUAAAAAAUGCUAGUUUAAGAUAUGGACAACUGUACAAAAUAUACUCCCUCUGUUCCUAAAAGAUUGUACAAAGAUUAAGAAAUAUAAUUAAUACCUAGCGAAAAUACUAUACUGCCCUUAUUAAUUGUCUCAACCAAUUAUUCCCCUCCCAAUGUUUCUUAUUCAAUUCAACCAAUUACUUCUCAUUCAACCAAUUACUACUUGGAUUAUUGCAUUAAAUUGAAUAAGAAUCAUUGAGAAGGGAAGAAAACUUUAAAUAGAAGAAAGCUUUAAAUAAGGGUAAAGUAGGGAAAAAAUAACUAAUAUGUAUUGAUAAACUCAAAACGACAAUCUUUUUGGAACAAAAAUUACUUCCUAAAACGACAAUCUUUUAGGAACGGAGGGAGUAUAAAAGAAUCUCCGAGUAACAAACUCCCAAAGUCCUUCUAGGGGGACAUUAUUCUAGUGACAUUCUAGCGAUAUUUUUUUAUUAUUAUUAUUUUUGUACGGACUAUGUUUUUUGUAUGUAUUCAAAUUACACCUAAAACACUAACACUGUUUUCUGUAAAAAUUUCAGUUGAAAUAAAUAUUAUACAUUUUUUGAGAGAGUACAAAAAAAAAAAUAAGUCGCUAGAAAUGUCACUAGAACAAUGUUCCCCUAGACUUAUUGAACUCCCAAAUGGUCUGUUUGUGAGUUUUAUUUUGGAAAGGAAGGGAAGGCCCCGAAUUAAAACUAACAGACAUGCCCUAAAUAACUAAUCGUUUGAGAUGAUGAACUUGAUCAGCAUGUGGUUAUAGUUGAUGGUACAAGAGAAUGUUCAUGUAAAAGCACAUGUAGCAGCUUCAUGAUUGCACCUUCAGCUCUGUGUGACGCAUCUGCAGCAACAUCAGGACCAGUAGCAGCAUUAUGCUUAUCAUUCCCUCAAGUUGGUAGUGUGAAAUAAAUCGAGAAUGAAAGAGGGAUUAAGUAAGGUAUGUUGGCUGUUUGGAAAAAGGAAGAUGAAAUAGCGCAAUGACACCUUACUUAAAUUUGUUCCUUACAAGAUCGAUGAUGACAAUCAACUUGAUUUAAUGUGUUUUGUUCUUUCAUGCAUGAAAAACGGGCUUUUAAGCAUUAUAAAUUUUAUCUUGAUUAUUAGGGUUCAUAGGAAGAUUUGUAUUCUGCUUUUGCAGAAGACCAAAAGGCUAUAUGUUCAAUCCUCCUGCUUUUCCCAAGAGAGGGGAGGGGGCAAAAUGGGAAAUCUCAAACAUUACACUAACAGAAACUGGAUCUUCUGGUCAUUGGAUAUGUUCCAAAUCAGUAUCACAGUAUGCACCACUACCUUAGCUAAGUAUAUUAACUAGUCUCUCUAUGCUCUAGCUAUUUCCCUGUGUUUUAAACAAGCGGCUUGAAUUGAAAAGGCAUAGAAAGCUUGUCAAAUUCAACAACAUAGGUGUAAAAAUGCACCAAACUGCAUUGUUUAAACAAGAGAGUAGUGAUUUCCUCUGCCUUAAGAGACCGUAUGCUACACAUAAAUUAAGUUGAAAAGAAACUUGUGCUAGUCUGAAACCAGUUCAAACAAAAAUUGACAAAUACUCAAAACCUCUUCAUAAUACUAGAAACAGUUUUAACAAAAACUGCCAACACUUCCACAGCAUAAACAUGUUUAAAACAAAUGUAAUGUUUGAACAGAAAUUUAAAAUUGUAUCCACCAAAAAAUCAUAACAUAUUAAUAUUGAAAUUUCGCACUUAAUCAACUUCCUCGAUCUUGGGGCCUGCACCGCUUGCACCAACUGAGGGACCAUCCUCUUCCAUACCACAAGCCAUAUCAGGAACACCACCACCACCAUAAAUUUUGGCAAUGAUGGGAUUGCAAAUGCCUUCAAGGUCCUUCUUCUUGUCCUCGAACUCUCCUGCCUCCGCAAGCUGAUUGCCAUCUAGCCACUGGAUUGCCUGCUCGAUAGCAUCCUCCAAUUUCUUCUUGUCAGCAGCCGAAAGCUUGGAAUUGAUUUUCUCAUCCUUGACUGUGUUCCUCAUAUUAUAUGCAUAAUUCUCCAAUUCAUUCUUGGUCUCAACCUUCUUCUUGUGCUCCUCAUCUUCAGUCUUGUACUUCUCAGCUUCUUGUACCAUCUUCUCAAUCUCUUCUUUCGAUAGUCUCCCCUUGUCAUUGGUGAUUGUUAUCUUGUUCUUCUGGCCAGCAGUCUUGUCCUCAGCAGAGACAUUUAGCACCCCAUUUGCAUCAAUAUCAAAGCAGACAGUAAUCUGAGGAACACCCCUAGGGGCAGGAGGGAUGCCAGAGAGUUCAAAUUUUCCCAACAAGUUGUUAUCCUUAGUUCUUGUUCUCUCGCCCUCAUAUACUUGGAUCAGCACACCAGGCUGAUUAUCGGCAUAGGUUGAGAAUAUUUGUUCCUUCUUGGUCGGAAUAGUUGUAUUCCUUGGAAUAAGGACAGUCAUUACUCCACCAGCAGUUUCCAAUCCAAGGGACAGAGGAGUCACAUCCAACAGCAGUAGGUCCUGAACCUUUUCAUUGCCCUCUCCAGUCAAAAUGGCAGCUUGAACAGCGGCACCAUAGGCAACAGCCUCAUCGGGAUUUAUGCUCUUGCACAACUCCUUUCCAUUGAAAAAGUCCUGCAACAGCUGCUGUACCUUGGGAAUUCUAGUAGACCCGCCAACAAGGACGACAUCAUGGACACUACUCUUGUCCAUCUUCGCAUCCCUCAAACAUUUUUCCACAGGCUCCAUACACUUUCUAAACAGAUCCAUGUUCAACUCUUCGAAUCGAGCACGAGUAAUAGUUGUGUAGAAAUCAACACCCUCGUACAAAGAAUCAAUCUCAAUAGUUGUCUGGGCAGUAGAAGAGAGGGUUCUCUUUGCCCUUUCACAUGCAGUCCUCAACCUCCUAAGAGAUCUAGCAUUUCCAGUUAUGUCUUUCUUGUGCUUUCUCUUGAACUCCUGGACAAAAUGAUUCACCAUACGGUUGUCAAAGUCCUCUCCACCAAGGUGAGUGUCACCAGCUGUUGCCUUCACCUCAAAAAUGCCCUCUUCAAUUGUGAGAAGAGAAACGUCAAAUGUACCACCACCAAGAUCAAAAAUAAGCACAUUCUUCUCGCCUGAAUUACUCGACUUUUUGUCAAGACCAUAAGCAAUGGCGGCAGCAGUUGGCUCAUUGAUGAUACGCAAUAC
RNAcentral lists this long non-coding RNA (7026 nucleotides) under Panax ginseng (ginseng). RNAcentral describes it as "long non-coding RNA (PGIN_LNC009111)". Lineage: Eukaryota; Viridiplantae; Streptophyta; Magnoliopsida; Apiales; Araliaceae. The record is from RNAcentral.